GGGCCUAUAGUUUCAAUAGUAAAACAUCGCACUCCAAACGCGGAGUUCCUGGUGCAAGUCCAGGUGGGCCCG
RNAcentral lists this transfer RNA (72 nucleotides) under bacterium. Its description in RNAcentral is "tRNA-Trp". It matches the Rfam family "tRNA". From Rfam's summary of the family: Transfer RNA (tRNA) molecules are approximately 80 nucleotides in length. The record is from RNAcentral.